Molecule: ribosomal RNA, 253 nt
Filed under: uncultured bacterium
Lineage: Bacteria
Description: partial 16S ribosomal RNA
Rfam family: Bacterial small subunit ribosomal RNA
Source: RNAcentral
UACGGAGGGUGCAAGCGUUAAUCGGAUUUACUGGGCGUAAAGCGCGCGUAGGCGGCUUGUUAAGUCGGAUGUGAAAGCCCUGGGCUUAACCUAGGAACUGCAUUCGAUACUGGCGAGCUAGAGUAUGAUAGAGGGUGGUGGAAUUCCUAGUGUAGCGGUGAAAUGCGUAGAUAUUAGGAGGAACAUCGGUGGCGAAGGCGGCCACCUGGGUCAAUACUGACGCUGAAGUGCGAAAGCGUGGGGAGCAAACAGG